UACGAAGGGGGCUAGCGUUGCUCGGAAUGACUGGGCGUAAAGGGCGCGUAGGCGGAUGGCACAGUCAGAUGUGAAAUUCCCAGGCUUAACCUGGGGGCUGCAUUUGAUACGUGUUGUCUUGAGUUCGGGAGAGGGUCGUGGAAUUCCCAGUGUAGAGGUGAAAUUCGUAGAUAUUGGGAAGAACACCGGUGGCGAAGGCGGCGACCUGGUCCGACACUGACGCUGAGGCGCGAAAGCGUGGGGAGCAAACAGG
Molecule: ribosomal RNA, 253 nt
Filed under: uncultured bacterium
Lineage: Bacteria
Description: partial 16S ribosomal RNA
Rfam family: Bacterial small subunit ribosomal RNA
Source: RNAcentral